Molecule: ribosomal RNA, 497 nt
Filed under: uncultured bacterium
Lineage: Bacteria
Description: partial 16S ribosomal RNA
Rfam family: Bacterial small subunit ribosomal RNA
Source: RNAcentral
GAUGAACGCUGGCGGCGUGCCUAAUACAUGCAAGUCGAGCGAACGGACGAGAAGCUUGCUUUUCUGAUGUUAGCGGCGGACGGGUGAGUAACACGUGGAUAACCUACCUAUAAGACUGGGAUAACUUCGGGAAACCGGAGCUAAUACCGGAUAAUAUUUUGAACCGCAUGGUUCAAAAGUGAAAGACGGUCUUGCUGUCACUUAUAGAUGGAUCCGCGCUGCAUUAGCUAGUUGGUAAGGUAACGGCUUACCAAGGCAACGAUGCAUAGCCGACCUGAGAGGGUGAGCGCCCACAGUGGAACUGAGCCACGGUCCAGACUCCGACGGGGGGCCGCAGGGGGGAAUCUUCCGCAAUGGGCGAAAGCCGGAGGGAGCAGCGCCGCGUGAGUGAUGAAGGUCUUCGUAUCGUAAAACUCUGUUAUUGGGGAAGAAAAUAUGUGAAAGAAACUGUGCACUUCUUGACGGUACCUAAUAAAAAAGCCCCGGCUAACUACGUG